This is a long non-coding RNA of Mauremys reevesii (Reeves's turtle), 587 nucleotides long. RefSeq lists it as uncharacterized. The record is from RefSeq and is a predicted model, not a curated record. The transcript is spliced from 3 exons. Lineage: Eukaryota; Metazoa; Chordata; Testudines; Geoemydidae.
AGUUGAUUUUUAUUACAAAGGCUCCAAAGUUAAGGUUUAGUUGAGAUUUGAAAUUGAAGCAGGGACUAAACCUCUCUGCUGUGUCUGAUAAUAUAGUGUAUCCAUACCAAAAUUACAGCACUUACUCUUUGAAUACUGAAUGCAUUUUUCUGAGACUUUACAGGUUACGUCACCAAUCGGAAGUUAACAGAGAAAAUAUUCUUCAUCAGUAGGACUGCUUUACAGCUCAGGAACUGAAGUGGUCCACUAUGUAACUAUAUGGCACCAUAGACCUACAUAGCUCUAUGCAGCUAAUUGGGAUUAUACAGCUACAUGUCACUAUGCAUCUUCCACUACUUGAAGCUGAAUCAAAAUGGUAGUGGAAAGAAACCUGACUCCAGGGGAAAGGACCUGAGUUGAGAGAAACCUGCUGGUAAAGGGCCUGGACAGAGACAAACAGUGGACUCAGGAGGGACAGAUAAACUAAGACUGGCUCUGUUUCCCAACUAGGAUGCUGAGAUGAAGAUUUCCGUUAUAUUUUGUGUUGGUCUUUUUAGUUUGGCACCUGAAGGUCAGGGCCGGCUCCAGGCACCAGUGAAGGAAGCAGG